This 279-nucleotide ribosomal RNA is filed under the name uncultured bacterium. RNAcentral's name for it is "partial 16S ribosomal RNA". It matches the Rfam family "Bacterial small subunit ribosomal RNA", at positions 506 to 784 of the family's 1533-position model. The record is from RNAcentral.
UGCCAGCCGCCGCGGUAAUACGUAGGGAGCGAGCGUUAUCCGGAAUUAUUGGGCGUAAAGCGCGUGUAGGCGGUUCGUUAAGUCUGAUGUGAAAGCCCGGGGCUCAACCCCGGAAGUGCAUUGGAAACUGGCGAACUUGAGUACGGGAGAGGAAAGUGGAAUUCCGAGUGUAGGGGUGAAAUCCGUAGAUAUUCGGAGGAACACCAGUGGCGAAGGCGGCUUUCUGGACCGAUACUGACGCUGAGAUGCGAAAGCGUGGGGAGCAAACAGGAUUAGAUA